This 1390-nucleotide ribosomal RNA is filed under the name uncultured bacterium. RNAcentral describes it as "partial 16S ribosomal RNA". It matches the Rfam family "Bacterial small subunit ribosomal RNA". The record is from RNAcentral.
AGAGUUUGAUCCUGGCUCAGGACGAACGCUGGCGGCGCGCCUAACACAUGCAAGUCGAACGAGCGAGAGAGAGCUUGCUUUCUCGAGCGAGUGGCGAACGGGUGAGUAACGCGUGAGGAACCUGCCUCAAAGAGGGGGACAACAGUUGGAAACGACUGCUAAUACCGCAUAAGCCCACAGGUCGGCAUCGACCAGAGGGAAAAGGAGCAAUCCGCUUUGAGAUGGCCUCGCGUCCGAUUAGCUAGUUGGUGAGGUAACGGCCCACCAAGGCGACGAUGCAUAGCCGGCCUGAGAGGGCGGACGGCCACAUUGGGACUGAGACACGGCCCAAACUCCUACGGGAGGCAGCAGUAGGGAAUUUUCGUCAAUGGGGGGAACCCUGAACGAGCAAUGCCGCGUGAGUGAAGAAGGUCUUCGGAUCGUAAAGCUCUGUUGUAAGAGAAAAACGACAUUCAUAGGGAAUGAUGAGUGAAUGAUGGUAUCUUACCAGAAAGUCACGGCUAACUACGUGCCAGCAGCCGCGGUAAUACGUAGGUGGCGAGCGUUAUCCGGAAUGAUUGGGCGUAAAGGGUGCGUAGGUGGCAGAACAAGUCUGGAGUAAAAGGUAUGGGCUCAACCCGUACUGGCUCUGGAAACUGUUCAGCUAGAGAACAGAAGAGGACGGCGGAACUCCAUGUGUAGCGGUAAAAUGCGUAGAUAUAUGGAAGAACACCGGUGGCGAAGGCGGCCGUCUGGUCUGUUGCUGACACUGAAGCACGAAAGCGUGGGGAGCAAAUAGGAUUAGAUACCCUAGUAGUCCACGCCGUAAACGAUGAGAACUAGGUGGUGGGGGAAAAACUCCGUGCCGCAGUUAACGCAAAUAAGUUCUCCGCCUGGGGAGUAUGCACGCAAGUGUGAAACUCAAAGGAAUUGACGGGGGCCCGCACAAGCGGUGGAGUAUGUGGUUUAAUUCGAAGCAACGCGAAGAACCUUACCAGGCCUUGACAUCCCUUGCAGAGGUAUAGAGAUAUAUCCGAGGUUAUCAAGGAGACAGGUGGUGCAUGGUUGUCGUCAGCUCGUGUCGUGAGAUGUUGGGUUAAGUCCCGCAACGAGCGCAACCCUUAUGGUCAGUUACUACGCAAGAGGACUCUGGCCAGACUGCCGUUGACAAAACGGAGGAAGGUGGGGAUGACGUCAAAUCAUCAUGCCCUUUAUGACUUGGGCUACACACGUACUACAAUGGCGUUAAACAAAGAGAAGCAAGACCGCGAGGUGGAGCAAAACUCAGAAACAACGUCCCAGUUCGGACUGCAGGCUGCAACUCGCCUGCACGAAGUCGGAAUUGCUAGUAAUCGCAGAUCAGCAUGCUGCGGUGAAUACGUUCCCGGGCCUUGUACUCACCGCCCGUCAA